AUAUGCUAAAUACUUUCUCUGAUGGCUUGCUCCACAUCAUUGAUCAAUAUGAAAGUUUUCAAGUAUUUUAAUGUUCUUUCAUUGAGAUAUAACCAGAUUCAUUUUUGCUUAUGAGUGUGGUACUUAAUAGUAAUAUAUAUUGGAAUUUGUGCAUUUUAAUCCUGCUAACAUAGGUAUCGAGUAAAUCUCUUCACAAAGACUUUGACAUAUGAUUGUUUUUAAGUACUCUUAAUUUUUGAAGGGAUCAACCUCGGCUUCAUCAAGGGAAAGGAUAAACAGAGAGGACAGCAACUGGGAAGCUUUUCUCCCAUCAAUGUAAAACAAAACACUAGUCAUCUUAGAAAAUCUUGGUUUGUGACAACUUGGCCUGGCAGAGUUUUUAGGAUAAAACAUGUGUUGGGCCCGCUUUGGGCCAAACCCUGCAUGGUUUUCCCCAAAGAAUUUUUUUUUUUCUACUUUUUAUGUGGGACUUUGGAAAGAUAUAUGAAGAAAUUUUGGAACCUCCAUUCUAGGUGUGGGGGUGGAAGAAGAAAUGGAAGGGGAAGAAGGUGGUG
This 554-nucleotide long non-coding RNA is filed under the name Nicotiana tabacum (common tobacco). RNAcentral's name for it is "long non-coding RNA (NTAB_LNC005427)". The record is from RNAcentral. Lineage: Eukaryota; Viridiplantae; Streptophyta; Magnoliopsida; Solanales; Solanaceae.